AUUGAACGCUGGCGGCAGGCUUAACACAUGCAAGUCGAGCGGGGUGAUGGUGCUUGCACUAUCACUUAGCGGCGGAUGGGUGAGUAAUGCUUAGGAAUCUGCCUAUUAGUGGGGGACAACAUCUCGAGAGGGAUGCUAAUACCGCAUACGUCAUACGGGAGAAAGCAGGGGAGCAUUUGCGACCUUGCGCGAAUAGAUGAGCCUAAGUCGGAUUAGCUAGUUGGUGGGGUAAAGGCCUACCAAGGCGACGAUCUGUAGCGGGUCUGAGAGGAUGAUCCGCCACACUGGGACUGAGACACGGCCCAGACUCCUACGGGAGGCAGCAGUGGGGAAUAUUGGACAAUGGGGGGAACCCUGAUCCAGCCAUGCCGCGUGUGUGAAGAAGGCCUUAUGGUUGUAAAGCACUUUAAGCGAGGAGGAGGCUCUUUUGGUUAAUACCCAAGAUGAGUGGACGUUACUCGCAGAAUAAGCACCGGCUAACUCUGUGCCAGCCGCCGCCGUAA
RNAcentral lists this ribosomal RNA (503 nucleotides) under uncultured bacterium. Its description in RNAcentral is "partial 16S ribosomal RNA". It matches the Rfam family "Bacterial small subunit ribosomal RNA", at positions 30 to 523 of the family's 1533-position model. The record is from RNAcentral.